Molecule: ribosomal RNA, 253 nt
Filed under: uncultured bacterium
Lineage: Bacteria
Description: partial 16S ribosomal RNA
Rfam family: Bacterial small subunit ribosomal RNA
Source: RNAcentral
GACGAACCGAGCGAACGUUAUUCGGAAUCACUGGGCUUAAAGGGCGCGUAGGCGGGCUAUCAAGUCUGGGGUGAAAUCCCGCGGCUCAACCGUGGAACUGCCUCAGAUACUGACGGCCUAGAGGAAGGUAGGGGCAUGCGGAACUAACGGUGGAGCGGUGAAAUGCGUUGAUAUCGUUAGGAACUCCGGUGGCGAAAGCGGCGUGCUGGACCUUUUCUGACGCUGAGGCGCGAAAGCUAGGGGAGCAAACGGG